CAUCCGAGUUUCUACAAUAAGCGGUCUCCAUCCGAGCUUCUACAAUAAGCGAUCUUCAUCCAGACUUCCACGGCAACCGGUCUCCAUCCGAGCUUCUAUAGUAAGCUGCCUCCUUCCGGACUCCUAGAAGAAUCGGACUCCGUCCGAACUUCUACAACAGAAUUGGAUUUCAGACGAACUUCUACAACGGACGGGCUCCAUCUCAGUUGCAACUGAGUAGUGCUGGAUGCCAAGGAAGGAGUUUGAAUCUUCUAUGGUCUCCACUAUUAUGACCUCCCAGUGAUCAGCCCAUGUGGUGGUGGUCAUGGACCACAAGACAAGAAAGAAGCCAUUGCAUGGUCCUUGUUGGGAUAUAUCGACUGACCCCCGUACGCCGACUUAUCCUCGGACCGGUCCGACCGACGUCAGACUCUACCCACCGGAC
RNAcentral lists this long non-coding RNA (424 nucleotides) under Elaeis guineensis (African oil palm). RNAcentral's name for it is "long non-coding RNA (EGUI_LNC034952)". The record is from RNAcentral. Lineage: Eukaryota; Viridiplantae; Streptophyta; Magnoliopsida; Arecales; Arecaceae.